AAUUGCAAUAAAAAUAAUGGGAAGAAGCACAGGGCUGAAAGGCAACCUGAAAGAUUGCCUAGUUCUUCCUGCUCUCGGUUAAGGCCAGUUAUCUUUAUAAUAAUACUGUAUUCUGCUUUAAUGUUAUGUUUUCCUAAUAUGUUCUUGAAUACUUUCAGCAAUGAAAACACCAUGCCACAGCUUUGCCAUACAAUCUACUGCAGUAAUUCUCUGUUCUUACCGCUACCCUGUGUCUAACCUUGAAACAGAGCAUGCUGUAAAUCCUUCACUUGUUCCAUGGAUGCUUUGAAAUACAAGAGGUUCUGCACAUACAGCCCUCCCUUUUACACACAAAAAAUACUUAUGGAAGCAGGAAUUUAAACUAUACUCAUCUACGCAAGAGAAGCAGGUCCACCAGAUCAUCAGUAUUACAGAGUAUCAUUGAACCAUGCUGCAGUGCAAGACUGGGGCUGGGAACCUGACCCCUGCAUCAGGCAGCUGGCCUGGUUCAAGAAGGUUCUGCGCCGACGGGCUCCCACCGCAGGUCGCGUUUUGGCAGCACAGCUGUGGGGGCAUGGUGUGCCAGUGCACAGAGACCUGCAG
Dromaius novaehollandiae (emu) is the source of this 582-nucleotide long non-coding RNA. RefSeq lists it as uncharacterized. NCBI's taxonomy places the organism in Eukaryota, Metazoa, Chordata, Aves, Casuariiformes, Dromaiidae. The record is from RefSeq and is a predicted model, not a curated record. The transcript has 3 exons.